Molecule: non-coding RNA, 125 nt
Organism: Triticum aestivum (bread wheat)
Lineage: Eukaryota; Viridiplantae; Streptophyta; Magnoliopsida; Poales; Poaceae
Source: Rfam
UACAUACUUCCUCCGUCCGAAAAAGCUUGUUUCUCAAUGGAUGUAUGUAGCAUCAAGUUGAUGCUAGAUACAUUUAUUUGAAGGACAAGUUUGGGACAAGGUUUUUCGGACGGAGGGAGUAUAAG